UAGCUUGCUGGAUCUUAGUGGCGAACGGGUGAGUAAUACAUAAAUAAUCUGCCCAUUGGACUGGGAUAACUGUUGGAAACGAUAGCUAAUACCGGAUAGGUGAUUUGAAGGCAUCUUCGAAUCAUUAAAGUAGGGUCACUACACCAAUGGAUGAGUUUAUGGCGCAUUAGUUAGUUGGCGGGGUAACGGCCCACCAAGACGAUGAUGCGUAGCCGACCUGAGAGGGUGACCGGCCACACUGGGACUGAGACACGGCCCAGACUCCUACGGGAGGCAGCAGUAGGGAAUUUUCGGCAAUGGGCGCAAGCCUGACCGAGCAACGCCGCGUGAGUGAUUAAGGCCUUCGGGUUGUAAAGCUCUGUUGUAAGGGAAGAACAUUCAGGAUAGGAAAUGAUCUUGAACUGACGGUACCUUACCAGAAAGCCACGGCUAACUACGUGCCAGCAGCCGCGGUAAUACGUAGGUGGCAAGCGUUAUCCGGAAUUAUUGGGCGUAAAGGGUGCGUAGGCGGUUUAUUAAGUCUAUGGUGAAAGUGCGGGGCUCAACCCCGUAUGGCCAUAGAAACUAGUAGACUUGAGUGCAGGAGAGGGCAAUGGAAUUCCACGUGUAGCGGUAAAAUGCGUAGAUAUGUGGAGGAACACCAGUGGCGAAGGCGGUUGCCUGGCCUGUAACUGACGCUGAGGCACGAAAGCGUGGGGAGCAAAUAGGAUUAGAUACCCUAGUAGUCCACGCUGUAAACGAUGAAUACUAAGUGUUGGAGAAAUUCAGUGCUGCAGUUAACGCAAUAAGUAUUCCGCCUGGGGAGUAUGCACGCAAGUGUGAAACUCAAAGGAAUUGACGGGACCCCGCACAAGCGGUGGAUUAUGUUGUUUAAUUCGACGCUACGCGAAGAACCUUACCAGGCCUUGACAUACUCGGCAAAGCUCUAGAGAUAGAGUGGAGGUUAUCC
This 949-nucleotide ribosomal RNA is filed under the name uncultured bacterium. RNAcentral describes it as "bacterial SSU rRNA". It matches the Rfam family "Bacterial small subunit ribosomal RNA", at positions 76 to 1024 of the family's 1533-position model. The record is from RNAcentral.